Molecule: ribosomal RNA, 253 nt
Filed under: uncultured bacterium
Lineage: Bacteria
Description: partial 16S ribosomal RNA
Rfam family: Bacterial small subunit ribosomal RNA
Source: RNAcentral
UACGUAGGGUGCGAGCGUUGUCCGGAAUUACUGGGCGUAAAGCGUGCGCAGGCGGUUUUGUAAGCCAGAUGUGAAAGCCCCGGGCUCAACCUGGGAAUGGCAUUUGGGACUGCAAGGCUUGAGUGCGGCAGAGGAGACUGGAAUUCCUGGUGUAGCAGUGAAAUGCGUAGAUAUCAGGAGGAAUACCGAUGGCGAAGGCAGGUCUCUGGGCUGACACUGACGCUCAUGCACGAAAGCGUGGGGAGCAAACAGG